AGCGAACGCUGGCGGCAGGCUUAACACAUGCGAGUCGAGCGGGCAUCCUUGUGGUGUCAGCGGCAGACGGGUGAGUAACGCGUGGGAACGUGCCCUUCGGUUCGGAAUAACUCAGGGAAACUUGAGCUAAUACCGGAUACGCCCUUUUGGGGAAAGGUUUACUGCCGAAGGAUCGGCCCGCGUCUGAUUAGCUAGUUGGUGAGGUUAUGGCUCACCAAGGCGACGAUCAGUAGCUGGUCUGAGAGGAUGAUCAGCCACACUGGGACUGAGACACGGCCCAGACUCCUACGGGAGGCAGCAGUGGGGAAUAUUGGACAAUGGGGGCAACCCUGAUCCAGCCAUGCCGCGUGAGUGAUGACGGCCUUAGGGUUGUAAAGCUCUUUUCUCCGGGACGAUAAUGACGGUACCGGAGGAAUAAGCCCCGGCUAACUUCGUG
RNAcentral lists this ribosomal RNA (436 nucleotides) under uncultured bacterium. RNAcentral describes it as "partial 16S ribosomal RNA". It matches the Rfam family "Bacterial small subunit ribosomal RNA", at positions 29 to 507 of the family's 1533-position model. The record is from RNAcentral.